AGUGAACGCUGGCGGUAGGCCUAACACAUGCAAGUCGAACGGCAGCACAGUAAGAGCUUGCUCUUACGGGUGGCGAGUGGCGGACGGGUGAGGAAUACAUCGGAAUCUACUUUUUCGUGGGGGAUAACGUAGGGAAACUUACGCUAAUACCGCAUACGACCUACGGGUGAAAGCAGGGGAUCUUCGGACCUUGCGCGAUUGAAUGAGCCGAUGUCGGAUUAGCUAGUUGGCGGGGUAAAGGCCCACCAAGGCGACGAUCCGUAGCUGGUCUGAGAGGAUGAUCAGCCACACUGGAACUGAGACACGGUCCAGACUCCUACGGGAGGCAGCAGUGGGGAAUAUUGGACAAUGGGCGCAGGCCUGAUCCAGCCAUACCGCGUGGGUGAAGAAGGCCUUCGGGUUGUAAAGCCCUUUUGUUGGGAAAGAAAAGCAGCAGGUUAAUACCCCGCUGUCCUGACGGUACCCAAAGAAUAAGCACCGGCUAACUUCGUG
This 492-nucleotide ribosomal RNA is filed under the name uncultured bacterium. RNAcentral's name for it is "partial 16S ribosomal RNA". It matches the Rfam family "Bacterial small subunit ribosomal RNA", at positions 29 to 507 of the family's 1533-position model. The record is from RNAcentral.